RNAcentral lists this ribosomal RNA (463 nucleotides) under uncultured bacterium. Its description in RNAcentral is "bacterial SSU rRNA". It matches the Rfam family "Bacterial small subunit ribosomal RNA", at positions 335 to 795 of the family's 1533-position model. The record is from RNAcentral.
ACUCCUACGGGAGGCAGCAGUGAGGAAUAUUGGUCAAUGGACGAGAGUCUGAACCAGCCAAGUCGCGUGAAGGAAGACGGUUCUAUGAAUUGUAAACUUCUUUUGUGCAGGAAUAAAGUGGGUUACGUGUAACCUUUUGUAUGUACUGUACGAAUAAGGAUCGGCUAACUCCGUGCCAGCAGCCGCGGUAAUACGGAGGAUCCGAGCGUUAUCCGGAUUUAUUGGGUUUAAAGGGUGCGUAGGUGGAUUGAUAAGUCAGCGGUGAAAGUUUGCAGCUUAACUGUAAAAUUGCCGUUGAAACUGUCGGUCUUGAGUGCAAAUGAGGUAGGCGGAAUGUGUUGUGUAGCGGUGAAAUGCUUAGAUAUAACACAGAACUCCGAUUGCGAAGGCAGCUUACUGGGAUGCAACUGACACUGAUGCACGAAAGCGUGGGUAUCAAACAGGAUUAGAUACCCUGGUAGUC